GAUGAACGCUAGCUACAGGCUUAACACAUGCAAGUCGAGGGGCAGCAUGACUUAGCAAUAGGUUGAUGGCGACCGGCGCACGGGUGAGUAACACGUAUCCAACCUGCCGAUUAUUCCGGGAUAGCCUUUCGAAAGAAAGAUUAAUACUGGAUAGCAUAACGAGAAGGCAUCUUCUUGUUAUUAAAGAUUUCGAUAAUCGAUGGGGAUGCGUUCCAUUAGUUUGUUGGCGGGGUAACGGCCCACCAAGACAUCGAUGGAUAGGGGUUCUGAGAGGAAGGUCCCCCACAUUGGAACUGAGACACGGUCCAAACUCCUACGGGAGGCAGCAGUGAGGAAUAUUGGUCAAUGGACGAGAGUCUGACCAGCCAAGUAGCGUGAAGGAUGACUGCCCUAUGGGUUGUAAACUUC
This 408-nucleotide ribosomal RNA is filed under the name uncultured bacterium. RNAcentral's name for it is "bacterial SSU rRNA". It matches the Rfam family "Bacterial small subunit ribosomal RNA", at positions 28 to 433 of the family's 1533-position model. The record is from RNAcentral.